CGGCGAACGGGUGAGUAACACGUGAGCAACCUGCCCUUCACUUCGGGAUAACCAUCGGAAACGGUGGCUAAUACCGGAUAUGACACAGUUUCGCAUGGGAUCUGUGUGGAAAGUUUUUCGGUGGGGGAUGGGCUCGCGGCCUAUCAGCUUGUUGGUGGGGUAAUGGCCUACCAAGGCGACGACGGGUAGCCGGCCUGAGAGGGCGACCGGCCACACUGGGACUGAGACACGGCCCAG
Molecule: ribosomal RNA, 237 nt
Filed under: uncultured bacterium
Lineage: Bacteria
Description: partial 16S ribosomal RNA
Rfam family: Bacterial small subunit ribosomal RNA
Source: RNAcentral